RNAcentral lists this ribosomal RNA (774 nucleotides) under uncultured bacterium. RNAcentral describes it as "bacterial SSU rRNA". It matches the Rfam family "Bacterial small subunit ribosomal RNA", at positions 8 to 796 of the family's 1533-position model. The record is from RNAcentral.
AGAGUUUGAUCCUGGCUCAGAACGAACGCUGGCGGCGUGGAUAAGACAUGCAAGUCGAACGAAGCAUUUUUGUAGUAAUACCGAAAUGCUUAGUGGCAAACGGGUGCGUAACACGUAGGUUACAUUCCGGAAAGUGAGGGAUAGCCCAGGGAAACUUGGAUUAAUACCUCAUGUGAUCGCAAGAUCAAAGGUGCAAACCGCUUUCCGAUUGGCCUGCGCCCUAUCAGCUAGUUGGUGAGGUAAUGGCUCACCAAGGCAACGACGGGUAGCUGGUCUGAGAGGACGACCAGCCACACUGGAACUGAGACACGGUCCAGACACCUACGGGUGGCAGCAGUCGAGAAUCUUUCACAAUGGGGGCAACCCUGAUGGAGCGACGCCGCGUAGAGGAUAAGGUCUUCGGAUUGUAAACUCCUGUCAUGCGAGAGCAAGGCAUAGUAAUAUGUUUGAUAGUAUCGCAAGAGGAAGAGACGGCUAACUCUGUGCCAGCAGCCGCGGUAAUACAGAGGUCUCAAGCGUUGUUCGGAAUCACUGGGCGUAAAGGGUGCGUAGGCGGCGGAGUAAGUCGGGUGUGAAAUUUGAGGGCUCAACCCUCAACUAGCACCUGAUACUGCUUUGCUUGAGGUCUGAAGAGGAGCUUGGAAUUCUCGGUGUAGCAGUGAAAUGCGUAGAUUUCGAGAAGAACGCUCGCAGCGAAAGCGAAGCUCUGGUCAGAUUCUGACGCUGAGGCACGAAGGCUAGGGGAGCAAACGGGAUUAGAUACCCCCGUAGUCC